AAUCUAGCAGCUUAUAUGUUUCUGCAGAAAUUCAGAAGCAGCUAGCAAUAGAGAUGCCAUUUUAUGAGCCUUAAGGACAACUGAGGUCGUCACAAUCCCUCAAAAUUGCUACGGUG
RNAcentral lists this small nucleolar RNA (116 nucleotides) under Jaculus jaculus (lesser Egyptian jerboa). RNAcentral describes it as "Small nucleolar RNA SNORA33 (ENSJJAG00000007325.1)". Lineage: Eukaryota; Metazoa; Chordata; Mammalia; Rodentia; Dipodidae. The record is from RNAcentral.